Molecule: transfer RNA, 50 nt
Filed under: Escherichia coli 2-210-07_S1_C2
Lineage: Bacteria; Pseudomonadati; Pseudomonadota; Gammaproteobacteria; Enterobacterales; Enterobacteriaceae
Also listed under: 2 other names
Description: partial tRNA-Val
Rfam family: tRNA
About the family: Transfer RNA (tRNA) molecules are approximately 80 nucleotides in length. Their secondary structure includes four short double-helical elements and three loops (D, anti-codon, and T loops). Further hydrogen bonds mediate the characteristic L-shaped molecular structure. tRNAs have two regions of fundamental functional importance: the anti-codon, which is responsible for specific mRNA codon recognition, and the 3' end, to which the tRNAs corresponding amino acid is attached (by aminoacyl-tRNA synthetases). tRNAs cope with the degeneracy of the genetic code in two manners: having more than one tRNA (with a specific anti-codon) for a particular amino acid; and 'wobble' base-pairing, i.e. permitting non-standard base-pairing at the 3rd anti-codon position.
Source: RNAcentral
UGGGUGAUUAGCUCAGCUGGGAGAGCACCUCCCUUACAAGGAGGGGGUCG